UGUGCCAGCAGCCGCGGUAAUACGUAGGGUGCGAGCGUUGUCCGGAAUUACUGGGCGUAAAGGGCUCGUAGGUGGUUUGUCGCGUCGUCUGUGAAAUUCCGGGGCUUAACUCCGGGCGUGCAGGCGAUACGGGCAUAACUUGAGUACUGUAGGGGUAACUGGAAUUCCUGGUGUAGCGGUGAAAUGCGCAGAUAUCAGGAGGGACACCGAUGGCGAAGGCAGGUUACUGGGCAGUUACUGACGCUGAGGAGCGAAAGCAUGGGUAGCGAACAGGAUU
Molecule: ribosomal RNA, 277 nt
Filed under: uncultured Actinomycetales bacterium
Lineage: Bacteria; Bacillati; Actinomycetota; Actinomycetes; Actinomycetales
Description: partial 16S ribosomal RNA
Rfam family: Bacterial small subunit ribosomal RNA
Source: RNAcentral